This 1140-nucleotide small RNA is filed under the name Cryptococcus neoformans H99. RNAcentral's name for it is "Cryptococcus neoformans var. grubii H99 hypothetical RNA". Lineage: Eukaryota; Fungi; Basidiomycota; Tremellomycetes; Tremellales; Cryptococcaceae. The record is from RNAcentral.
CUCGUACAUAUCAAGCGCAUGGCAAGACGCCCUCAACCGACCAACCAAAAAAAAAAAAAAUAACCACUGUCCAGCAAUAAAUCAUAAAUCAUAUACUGCUGAUCCAGCGCAGCACGUGCCCAAGAAACCAAUACGCACAAUAAACUGUUGCAACACGUCCUUGCUUUGGCUUACCCUCUCCACAUUUGUCGCCUUGCAAAUAUCCCCCCCGAUUUCCCACUCUCCAUACCAACCGCUGUAAUACCAAGCAAACGCCAACACACGACGGCCAAGAUGAUAUGGCGUAGCGGGGGCCUUGUUGGAUGUGGGUCAGGUGAAGACGCUGUGAGAUGUAGGAAGUAGACGCUCGUCAGCGUCAGCCCGCUGGUCGAUAAUGGUGAAUCGAACAAUCAUCAAUCAAUCACCUUUUUAAUGCGUUCUUUCACUGGAAUUGAAAAAAGACAACAUCAUCUUGACACGUCGGGGUGAGGAGAGGUCAGUAUUUAAGACAUGUCUCUCUUAUCUGCAAGUGCCAAUACCUCUUUCCAUCUUUUUAUCUUUUUUGGCCAUUAGGACCAGUGUUUUGGCCAUUAGAACCGGUGGGCUCGUCGACAAAACCAAAACACUGGACAUUUUAGACAAGGUACUAUUAAUGACAUUUCUUUAUAAUUUUUUCACGACUUUUUUUUCUUUUCCUUCUUUCUUCCUCCUAAAAGUCAAGAACAGUCGUGGCAAGUUUUGCUCUCUCUCCAAAUUCUCAAAAUAGAGGGAGACAGAUUAAAAAAAGGGAAAAGACAGAACGAAAGAAAAAAAAGACCAUCAAGAUCGAAAAGAUCCAGGUGUUGUGGAAAAAAGAAACAGGGAAUAGAAUAAAAUUGAAAGGACAGGAUGAAGAAAAAAAAAAAACGACAGGUUAUUCCCAGAAUAAGAUUACUGGUCCCAAAUCCUAAUCAUGCGCUAGGCAACGAGGUAAGUAAUAUAUAUAAAAAAAAGCCAAUGUACUUUUGUAUCUCCUCAUUCCCCCUUUUUUUUUUCCUUUACCACUUGUGGGCUUUGACUGUUUGACUGUUUGACUUGACUCGGACUUGAUUUGCUUUAAAAACUUGUUGAUGAUAAGAAUCUUUUCCAUGCCCUUUUUUAUGCAUCGACUUGCAUCUUGUC